Molecule: ribosomal RNA, 253 nt
Filed under: uncultured bacterium
Lineage: Bacteria
Description: partial 16S ribosomal RNA
Rfam family: Bacterial small subunit ribosomal RNA
Source: RNAcentral
UACGUAGGGGGCAAGCGUUGUCCGGAAUCAUUGGGCGUAAAGCGCGUGUAGGCGGCUUCGUAAGUCCGUUGUGAAAGUCCAGGGCUCAACCCUGGAAUGCCGAUGGAUACUGCGGAGCUAGAGUCCGGAAGAGGCGAGUGGAAUUCCUGGUGUAGCGGUGAAAUGCGCAGAUAUCGGGAGGAACACCUGUGGCGAAAGCGGCUCACUGGACCACAACUGACGCUGAGGCGCGAAAGCUAGGGGAGCAAACAGG